UACGUAGGCGGAAAAUUAAGUCAGUGGUGAAAUCCUGCAGCUUAACUGUAGAACUGUCAUUGAUACUGGUUUUCUUGAAUACAGUUGAGGUAGGCGGAAUGUGUAAUGUAGCGGUGAAAUGCUUAGAUAUUAUACAGAACACCGAUUGCGAAGGCAGCUUACUAAACUGUUAUUGACGCUGAGGUACGAAAGCGUGGGGAGCGAACAGGAUUAGAUACCCUGGUAGUCC
This 229-nucleotide ribosomal RNA is filed under the name uncultured bacterium. RNAcentral describes it as "partial 16S ribosomal RNA". It matches the Rfam family "Bacterial small subunit ribosomal RNA", at positions 568 to 796 of the family's 1533-position model. The record is from RNAcentral.